Molecule: ribosomal RNA, 441 nt
Filed under: uncultured bacterium
Lineage: Bacteria
Description: bacterial SSU rRNA
Rfam family: Bacterial small subunit ribosomal RNA
Source: RNAcentral
GAAUUCACUAGUGAUNGGAUCNCAGGCNUAACACAUGCAAGUCGAGCGCCGUAGCAAUACGGAGCGGCAGACGGGAGAGUAACACGUGGGAACGUACCCUUCAGUUCGGAACAACCCCAGGGAAACUUGGGCUAAUACCGGAUACGUCCGUAAGGAGAAAGAUUUGUCGCUGAAGGAUCGGCCCGCGUCUGAUUAGCUAGUUGGUGAGGUAACGGCUCACCAAGGCGACGAUCAGUAGCUGGUCUGAGAGGAUGAUCAGCCUCACUGGGACUGAGACACGGCCCAGACUCCUACGGGAGGCAGCAGUGGGGAAUAUUGGACAAUGGGCGCAAGCCUGAUCCAGCCAUGCCGCGUGGGUGAUGAAGGCCUUAGGGUUGUAAAGCCCUUUCGGCGGGGAAGAUAAUGACGGUACCCGCAGAAGAAGCCCCGGCUAACUUCGUG